ACUGAACCACUCAAGUUUCCCGUUUUUCCGUUUUCGCUCCGUUUUUCAUUCGUUCCGUUUGCGUGUUUCGUUCAUUCCGUUUGCGUGUCAUUCAUUCCAUUCAUUUCGUUCAUUUCGUUUAAGUUUAUUCCGUGUUCCAUUCCGUGUUCCAUUCCGUUUAUACACGACAUAGCAUGAUAACAUGAUAACAAGCGUGUUGUUCGGUAAAUUGUGAAGCUAAUCAUUUCGUUUUAGAACGUUUACAGCGUGUGUGAACGAUUAUAUCAUUCUAAAACGAAAGGUAAUUGGGUUCGUUUCACAGAUAAAUUUCGUAUUUUAUAAUCACAUCAUCACAUGUAUUUUUUCUUUAUUAAAAAAAAACGACAAUCACCACAUGAUGGUCACUGGCUCAGGUCUGAAUAGACCGUUUUUUUUAAUUAAAUGAUGUGAAAUUUUGUUAAAAAAGAAUUUGUUCGCAGUAUAGUCAUUAAAAACUUGUUGAGACAUGGAAAUAUUAUAUUUUACUUUCAUGCUGUCAGAUUAAAUGUAUUCACAGGUUCAUUAUUUAUUUUUUUGUAAAA
This 560-nucleotide long non-coding RNA is filed under the name Mytilus galloprovincialis (Mediterranean mussel). The record is from RNAcentral. Lineage: Eukaryota; Metazoa; Mollusca; Bivalvia; Mytilida; Mytilidae.